GUACGGAAACGUACUAAGUGAUCACUUUCACAUUCAGGGAAACCCCGGAAUUCAAAAAAAUGGGCAAUCCUGAGCCAAAUCCUGUUUUCUCAAAACAAAAGAAAGGUUCAGAAAACGAAAAAGGAUAGGUCCAGAGACUCAAAGGAAGCUGUUCUAACAAAUGGGGGCACUGGUAGAGGAAAAAACGUCAGAAAGGAUCAAGAAAAAACCUAUCUAUUGAAGAGUAUAUCAAAAAAAUGAUUAAUGAUGGCCCGAAUCUCUAGAUGUUUUUUGAUAUGCAAAAAAAAAGAAGAAUUGAUGUGAAUUCAUCCGACAUUGACGAAAAAAUAGAAUUUUGAUUCAUCAAAUCAUUCACUCCAUAGUCUGAUAAACUUUUUAAAGAAUUAAUAAAUCGGACAAGAAUAAAGAUAGAGUCCCCUUCUACAUGUCAAUACCGGCAACAAUGAAAUUUAUAGUCAGAGGAAAAUCCGUUGACUGUAAAAUCGUGAGGGUUCAAGUCCCUCUUCAA
This 508-nucleotide non-coding RNA is filed under the name Utricularia cornuta. RNAcentral's name for it is "partial contains tRNA-Leu (trnL) gene and trnL-trnF spacer region". The stretch from base 1 to 437 matches the Rfam family "Group I catalytic intron", at positions 27 to 253 of the family's 253-position model. Rfam says of the family: Group I catalytic introns are large self-splicing ribozymes. They catalyse their own excision from mRNA, tRNA and rRNA precursors in a wide range of organisms. The record is from RNAcentral. Lineage: Eukaryota; Viridiplantae; Streptophyta; Magnoliopsida; Lamiales; Lentibulariaceae.